CCUACGGGUGGCUGCAGUGAGGAAUAUUGGUCAAUGGGCGCGAGCCUGAACCAGCCAAGUAGCGUGAAGGAUGACUGCCCUCCGGGUUGUAAACUUCUUUUAUAAAGGAAUAAAGUGAGGCACGUGUGCCUUUUAGUAUGUAUUUUAUGAAUAAGGAUAGGCUAACUCCGUGCCAGCAGCCGCGGUAAUACGGAGGAUCCGAGGGUUAUCCGGGUUUAUUGGGUUUAAAGGGAGCGUAGAUGGGUUGUUAAGUCAGUUGUGAAAGUUUGCGGCUCAACCGUAAAAUUGCACUUGAUACUGGAAGUCUUGAGUGCAGUUGAGGUAGGCGGAAUUCGUGGUGUAGCGGUGAAAUGCUUAGAUAUCACGAAGAACUCCGAUUGCGAAGGCAGCUUACUAAACUGCAACUGACACUGAUGCUCGAAAGUGUGGGUAUCAAACAGGAUUAGAUACCCAAGUAGUC
Molecule: ribosomal RNA, 460 nt
Filed under: uncultured bacterium
Lineage: Bacteria
Description: partial 16S ribosomal RNA
Rfam family: Bacterial small subunit ribosomal RNA
Source: RNAcentral